Molecule: ribosomal RNA, 492 nt
Filed under: uncultured bacterium
Lineage: Bacteria
Description: partial 16S ribosomal RNA
Rfam family: Bacterial small subunit ribosomal RNA
Source: RNAcentral
AUUGAACGCUGGCGGCAUGCUUUACACAUGCAAGUCGAACGGUAACAGGCCUUCGGGUGCUGACGAGUGGCGAACGGGUGAGUAAUGCAUCGGAACGUGCCCAGAGGUGGGGGAUAACGCAGCGAAAGCUGUGCUAAUACCGCAUGUGAUCUGAGGAUGAAAGCGGGGGACCAGGCAGCAAUGUUUGGCCUCGCGCCUUUGGAGCGGCCGAUGUCAGAUUAGGUAGUUGGUGGGGUAAAGGCCUACCAAGCCGACGAUCUGUAGCUGGUCUGAGAGGACGAACAGCCACACUGGGACUGAGACACGGCCCAGACUCCUACGGGAGGCAGCAGUGGGGAAUUUUGGACAAUGGGCGCAAGCCUGAUCCAGCAAUGCCGCGUGCGGGAAGAAGGCCUUCGGGUUGUAAACCGCUUUUGUACGGAACGAAAAGGCUCUGGCUAAUACCUGGGGCUGAUGACGGUACCGGAAGAAUAAGCACCGGCUAACUACGUG